UACGAAGGACCCAAGCGUUAUCCGGAUUUAUUGGGUUUAAAGGGUGCGUAGGCGGGUUAUUAAGUCAGUGGUGAAAGCUCCGAGCCCAACUCGGAAACUGCCAUUGAUACUGAUGAUCUUGAGUACAUUUGAGGUGGGCGGAAUGUGUCAUGUAGCGGUGAAAUGCUUAGAGAUGACUCAGAACACCGAUUGCGAAGGCAGCUCACUAAACUGUAACUGACGCUGAGGCACGAAAGCGUGGGGAGCAAACAGG
Molecule: ribosomal RNA, 253 nt
Filed under: uncultured bacterium
Lineage: Bacteria
Description: partial 16S ribosomal RNA
Rfam family: Bacterial small subunit ribosomal RNA
Source: RNAcentral